GGCGCCCAGGCCCCCACGAACCUCUCGGGCCCCGCCGGGGCGGGCGGCGGCGGCGGCGGGGGCGGAGGCGGGGGCGGCGGCGGCGGC
Chlorocebus sabaeus (green monkey) is the source of this 87-nucleotide microRNA precursor. NCBI's taxonomy places the organism in Eukaryota, Metazoa, Chordata, Mammalia, Primates, Cercopithecidae. The record is from Ensembl.